UCCGGCCGGGAACUCAAAGGAGACUGCCAGUGAUAAACUGGAGGAAGGUGGGGAUGACGUCAAGUCAUCAUGGCCCUUACGACCAGGGCUACACACGUGCUACAAUGGCGCAUACAAAGAGAAGCGACCUCGCGAGAGCAAGCGGACCUCAUAAAGUGCGUCGUAGUCCGGAUUGGAGUCUGCAACUCGACUCCAUGAAGUCGGAAUCGCUAGUAAUCGUGGAUCAGAAUGCCACGGUGAAUACGUUCCCGGGCC
This 255-nucleotide ribosomal RNA is filed under the name Escherichia coli. RNAcentral's name for it is "partial 16S ribosomal RNA". It matches the Rfam family "Bacterial small subunit ribosomal RNA", at positions 1126 to 1380 of the family's 1533-position model. Lineage: Bacteria; Pseudomonadati; Pseudomonadota; Gammaproteobacteria; Enterobacterales; Enterobacteriaceae. The record is from RNAcentral.